This 648-nucleotide long non-coding RNA is filed under the name Manihot esculenta (cassava). RNAcentral's name for it is "long non-coding RNA (MESC_LNC010929)". The record is from RNAcentral. Lineage: Eukaryota; Viridiplantae; Streptophyta; Magnoliopsida; Malpighiales; Euphorbiaceae.
AAAGUUUUAGCAUGAUUCACGCAUCAUGAAUGCCAUGAGAUAUAUUAGGAUGCUUGCAUUAGAACUCAUGAAUAUGUUGCAUUGCAUAUUAUGUUGUUGAUGUGGAUGAAUGUUGGAUGAUCCUCUAGCCUGCACUAUGAUAUGAUAUGAUAUGAGACAGUGAUGAUACGGUAUGGAAGACUAGUGAGGCCCAUUCUAUGCCCCUGGCACUAUGUAAGAGAAAGACCAGUGAGGCCCAUUCUACGCCCCUGGCAUGUUGGAAUGUUAUGUUAUGUUAAUGUAAGAGAAAGACCAGUGAGGCCCAUUCUACGCCUCUGGCACUAUUAGAAUGUGUAGUGGGCUAUUAGUGACAAGUUCAUCCUUGAUGUGAUUUGUCUGUAAUAUGAUGCAUUCCAUAAUAGCAUAUGUUUUAAAUAUUUUAUUAUUCUGCUCACUGGGCUCUAGUAGCUCACCCCAUUUCCCUUAAUCCCCCAGGUUUGCAGGUACGGGCUAGUCCAGGAGGUCAGCAGGAUUAGAAGCGUUUUAUGUAAUAGUUAGUUGUGGACAUGAGAAUAUUGUGAUGUAAUGUAUUGAAUAGUCAUGUAAUGUUAAGAAUUAUAUUGAGGAUAGAAUUGUGCUUGGCCCUAGUGUAUGUUAAUCCCUUUUUGG